This 253-nucleotide ribosomal RNA is filed under the name uncultured bacterium. RNAcentral describes it as "partial 16S ribosomal RNA". It matches the Rfam family "Bacterial small subunit ribosomal RNA", at positions 524 to 776 of the family's 1533-position model. The record is from RNAcentral.
UACGUAGGGGGCAAGCGUUGUCCGGAUUUAUUGGGCGUAAAGAGCGUGUAGGCGGUCAGGUAGGUCCGUUGUGAAAACUCGAGGCUCAACCUCGAGACGCCGAUGGAAACCAUCUGACUAGAGUCCGGAAGAGGAGAGUGGAAUUCCUGGUGUAGCGGUGAAAUGCGCAGAUAUCAGGAAGAACACCCGUGGCUAAGGCGGCUCUCUGGGCCUUACCUGACGCUGAGGAGCGAAAGCGUGGGGAGCGAACAGG